CGUAGCUCAGCUGGAUAGAGCGCUGCCCUCCGAAGGCAGAGGUCAGAGGUUCGAAUCCUUUCGGCAA
Molecule: transfer RNA, 67 nt
Filed under: Alphaproteobacteria bacterium
Lineage: Bacteria; Pseudomonadati; Pseudomonadota; Alphaproteobacteria
Description: tRNA-Arg
Rfam family: tRNA
About the family: Transfer RNA (tRNA) molecules are approximately 80 nucleotides in length. Their secondary structure includes four short double-helical elements and three loops (D, anti-codon, and T loops). Further hydrogen bonds mediate the characteristic L-shaped molecular structure. tRNAs have two regions of fundamental functional importance: the anti-codon, which is responsible for specific mRNA codon recognition, and the 3' end, to which the tRNAs corresponding amino acid is attached (by aminoacyl-tRNA synthetases). tRNAs cope with the degeneracy of the genetic code in two manners: having more than one tRNA (with a specific anti-codon) for a particular amino acid; and 'wobble' base-pairing, i.e. permitting non-standard base-pairing at the 3rd anti-codon position.
Source: RNAcentral